Long non-coding RNA from Cucumis sativus (cucumber), 1217 nucleotides. RefSeq lists it as uncharacterized. The transcript is spliced from 2 exons. The record is from RefSeq and is a predicted model, not a curated record. NCBI's taxonomy places the organism in Eukaryota, Viridiplantae, Streptophyta, Magnoliopsida, Cucurbitales, Cucurbitaceae.
AAAGACAUUUGUUUACAUAUAUAUUUACCCUAAUGCUAGUAAAACAUAAACCCAAUGCUUGCCCAUUCCAAGUUUUGAGUUAGCAUAUCUUAGAGCUCGUAAGUCUAUAUCCGAGUUAGUUUUGAGUUCGUAAGUAUAUACUUUAAUUUAUUGUUUUUAUUUUAUUUCAUUUGGAAAGAGCUACAUUAUAAUUAUUCGAUCGAUAUAGUUUUAUAUUAAGUUAAUGAUGUAAAUAUAGUUAAUAUAAUUUCCUUUUGAAAAUAUUUUACCUCUAAUCAUCAAGUUAAGUUAAUAACAUCAAGGUUUUAUGUUAGUGCAUGGAGACACCUCUAACUAAAUUGAGUAGUUCACAUGAAGUAAUCUCAAUAUUCUGACUUUGGAAUACCUAAUUAAUCAGGUAUCAACAGUAAAGAAUUGUAAAGGAGGAAUUAUUAAAGUAAUUUGUGACGACAUGAAUGGUAGUUUUAAAUUAAAUUGUUAAAUGUAUGAGAGGUGGAGACGAAAAUUUAGAGAGAGAGAGCAAUAUAGAAAACAUAAAAAUAGGAAGAGGAGAGGAGAGGGGAGUUGAAUGGAAGUGAACCAAAAGGUAGUAGAGUCAAUCAAUUAUUGAGAUGUUUGUGAGAGAGGGGAGCAUUAGUUUAUUAAAAUGGAAUGGGAGGGAAGAGGAAGAGGAAGAGGAAGAAGGGCAUCGGAGGGUGAGGAAUGGGUGUGAUCUGAUACAAGAGGACGUGGAGGUUUCAGAUGGAGAGGACAGAGGAGGUGGUGGUGGUCAAAGGUCAAAGUGAGGAAUGGACCAUACACGUGGCAGAGGGGGUUGAUGGAGGUGUCAUUAUCGGAGCUGUGUGUGGGUGGACCCCAAUUCCCUUGUCACCGUCACCGUCCUCUCAUUUCCUCUCUCUUGCCUCUCUGUUUUUGGUACUCUCAUUGCGAAGACGUAUUCGAUCUUGGAGGCUUCAUUAGUACGUUGUUAUCUAUCAUAUUUAGAUUGAGUGUAUUUUUUGUCUCCUACUUGUAUCCUCCUUGUUACCUGGAUAAUCAAAUGGUAUGAUAUGACAAUUAUUUUUCUUAAAUAGCUUCAGGCUUCUCUAUUGAGAGAGAUCAAUUCAAGCCUUUUAUAUAUCUCCUUUAUGUAUUUAAUCUUUUUUAUUAUGGUUCUUCCUUAGUUUACAAAAUCACCUUCCCUUUGUUACAAUUCAAUAAAAUAGAUAAAUUAAAUA